Molecule: ribosomal RNA, 678 nt
Filed under: Triticum aestivum (bread wheat)
Lineage: Eukaryota; Viridiplantae; Streptophyta; Magnoliopsida; Poales; Poaceae
Description: partial small subunit ribosomal RNA
Source: RNAcentral
AUGCCUUACGAUGAGCGGUACACACCGUACAUCAAGCAGGCAGGACUACUCCCGUGGAUUCUGUUGGUCAGCCGGUCCACGCCGAAUCUGAACGCUCCACUAGUGUCCGCUCUUGUUGAUCGGUGGAGGCCAGAGACCCACAAUUUCCAUCUUCGGACCGGGGAGAUGACCGUGACGCUCGAGGAUGUCUCGUUGAUCACCGGUCUUGCUAUCGACGGGAGGCCUCUAUGUAUGAGCACCGAUUCUGAUGGGUGGCGCGAGCAGAUGAUUGCUCUUAUCGGUAUGGCUCCUACCGAGGCUGAGGAUGAUGUAGAGGAGGGAGAAGAGAAGAAGAAGAGGGAAAGGAAGGCAGCUGGAGCUGCUUUCACGUGGAUUCAAAAUAACUUUGCGACGUGCCCUCCGGAUGCAACUGAUGAUGUGAUCCAGACACAUGCUCGUGUGUAUAUGUGGUACAUUGUGUCGAGGACUUUGUUUCCUGACUCCACUGGCAAGAACGCUCCAUGGAUGUGGCUGAAGGCGUUGACCGUCUUCGAUAGCAAAUGGAGCUGGGGUUCAGCGACUCUUGCCUACUUGUACCGACAGGUAGUUGGUCUGUUUUGUGAUCAACUCAUUUAUUCAUUAGCAAUGCAAGCUUGCUGUCAAGUUAACAUUGUUUUUCUUUCAUAUGUAGCUGGAUGA